RNAcentral lists this transfer RNA (73 nucleotides) under Stegodyphus mimosarum. It matches the Rfam family "tRNA". Rfam says of the family: Transfer RNA (tRNA) molecules are approximately 80 nucleotides in length. The record is from Rfam by way of RNAcentral. Lineage: Eukaryota; Metazoa; Arthropoda; Arachnida; Araneae; Eresidae.
GCCUUCGUGGUGCAAUGGCCAGCAGUCUGGGUUCGUAUUCCAGAAGUCCGUGGUUAGAGUCCCGGCGAAGGCA